GACGAACGCUGGCGGCGUGCCUAAUACAUGCAAGUCGAACGCUUUUUCUUUCACCGGAGCUUGCUCCACCGAAAGAAAAAGAGUGGCGAACGGGUGAGUAACACGUGGGUAACCUGCCCAUCAGAAGGGGAUAACACUUGGAAACAGGUGCUAAUACCGUAUAACACUAUUUUCCGCAUGGAAGAAAGUUGAAAGGCGCUUUUGCGUCACUGAUGGAUGGACCCGCGGUGCAUUAGCUAGUUGGUGAGGUAACGGCUCACCAAGGCAACGAUGGAUAGCCGACCUGAGAGGGUGGUAGGCCACACUGGGACUGAGACACGGCCCAGACUCCUACGGGAGGCAGCAGUAGGGAAUCUUCGGCAAUGGACGAAAGUCUGACCGAGCAACGCCGCGUGAGUGAAGAAGGUUUUCGGAUCGUAAAACUCUGUUGUUAGAGAAGAACAAGGAUGAGAGUAAAACGUUCAUCCCUUGACGGUAUCUAACCAGAAAGCCACGGCUAACUACGUGCCAGCCGCCGCGGUAA
RNAcentral lists this ribosomal RNA (523 nucleotides) under uncultured bacterium. Its description in RNAcentral is "partial 16S ribosomal RNA". It matches the Rfam family "Bacterial small subunit ribosomal RNA", at positions 28 to 523 of the family's 1533-position model. The record is from RNAcentral.